CCUACGGGAGGCAGCAGUGAGGAAUAUUGGUCAAUGGACGCAAGUCUGAACCAGCCAUGCCGCGUGCAGGAAGACGGCUCUAUGAGUUGUAAACUGCUUUUGUACGAGGGUAAACGCAGAUACGCGUAUCUGUCUGAAAGUAUCGUACGAAUAAGGAUCGGCUAACUCCGUGCCAGCAGCCGCGGUAAUACGGAGGAUUCAAGCGUUAUCCGGAUUUAUUGGGUUUAAAGGGUGCGUAGGCGGUCGGAUAAGUUAGAGGUGAAAUCCCGAGGCUCAACUUCGGAAUUGCCUCUGAUACUGGUCGGCUAGAGAGUAGUGGCGGUAGGCGGAAUGUAUGGUGUAGCGGUGAAAUGCUUAGAGAUCAUACAGAACACCGAUUGCGAAGGCAGCUUACCAAGCUACUUCUGACGUUGAGGCACGAAAGCGUGGGGAGCGAACAGGAUUAGAUACCCCAGUAGUC
RNAcentral lists this ribosomal RNA (460 nucleotides) under uncultured bacterium. Its description in RNAcentral is "partial 16S ribosomal RNA". It matches the Rfam family "Bacterial small subunit ribosomal RNA", at positions 338 to 795 of the family's 1533-position model. The record is from RNAcentral.